AGCUUGGUUUCUUUUGUGUCUGUGUCUAUGUACUUCCAUUGUUGACUAUGAAUAUUACAUGUCUUUGAAUAAUUAUGAUUUUUCACAUCAUAACGAGGAAUCUCUUAAAUGAGCCAUGCUCUUUGAAUAGGGAUAAAAUAUGUUGUUUUCAGUUCUUCACACUUUAUGGGCCUUAUUUUACUUAUAUGAUAGCCUCUUUUCAUAUGCGUUGCAAUUACCUUUUUUAUUACAUCUAUUAGUGAGUAUGCACCGGGUAUGUUGUUGUUGUUGUUGUUGUUGUUGUUGUUGUUGUUAGUGUGUAUGCAUCUAGAAAGCAAGCUGAAGAGCUAGAUAUAGAACCUUGGUGACAUGUCUUGACUCAAGACUGUUAAUUCUUGAUUGUCGUACUCGUACUGGAGCCAAUUUGCACAACUACUAAGAAGUCAAACUAGUGAACUCUCAAAGAAGUCACUCUAUGCAACUUGGUACGUCAAGAUAAAACUAAGUAUGUGACAGUUAUUCCUUGCAUUGGUGAAUACAACUUGGAUUAUGCCCAGUACUACUUGUGAUCUUUUGAGGUGCUGGAACAAUGUAGGUGGCUGGGGAAGGAAGAAGAGAUGGUGGAGGGCUAUACCAGCAUGCAUUUGGUGGAAUGUCUGGAAGGAAAGAUAAAACCAAGUAUGUUGUGGCAGAAAGC
This 676-nucleotide long non-coding RNA is filed under the name Nicotiana tabacum (common tobacco). RNAcentral describes it as "long non-coding RNA (NTAB_LNC002767)". The record is from RNAcentral. Lineage: Eukaryota; Viridiplantae; Streptophyta; Magnoliopsida; Solanales; Solanaceae.